GGGGGCCAUCCCGGCUUACCAACCCGAUGCAAACUGCGAAUACCGGAGAAUGUUAUCACGGGAGACACACGGCGGGUGCUAACGUCCGUCGUGAAGAGGGAAACAACCCAGACCGCCAGCUAAGGUCCCAAAGUCAUGGUUAAGUGGGAAACGAUGUGGGAAGGCCCAGACAGCCAGGAUGUUGGCUUAGAAGCAGCCAUCAUUUAAAGAAAGCGUAAUAGCUCACUGGUCGAGUCGGCCUGCGCGGAAGAUGUAACGGGGCUAAACCAUGCACCGAAGCUGCGGCAGCGACACUGUGUGUUGUUGGGUAGGGGAGCGUUCUGUAAGCCUGUGAAGGUGUGUCGUGAGGCAUGCUGGAGGUAUCAGAAGUGCGAAUGCUGACAUAAGUAACGAUAAAGCGGGUGAAAAGCCCGCUCGCCGGAAGACCAAGGGUUCCUGUCCAACGUUAAUCGGGGCAGGGUGAGUCGACCCCUAAGGCGAGGCCGAAAGGCGUAGUCGAUGGGAAACGGGUUAAUAUUCCCGUACUUGGUGUUACUGCGAAGGGGGGACGGAGAAGGCUAUGUUGGCCGGGCGACGGUUGUCCCGGUUUAAGCGUGUAGGUGUGUGUUCCAGGUAAAUCCGGUUCACUUUAACACUGAGGCGUGACGACGAGGCACUACGGUGCUGAAGCAACAAAUGCCCUGCUUCCAGGAAAAGCCUCUAAGCAUCAGGUAACAUCAAAUCGUACCCCAAACCGACACAGGUGGUCAGGUAGAGAAUACCAAGGCGCUUGAGAGAACUCGGGUGAAGGAACUAGGCAAAAUGGUGCCGUAACUUCGGGAGAAGGCACGCUGACACGUAGGUGAAGUGAUUUACUCAUGGAGCUGAAGUCAGUCGAAGAUACCAGCUGGCUGCAACUGUUUAUUAAAAACACAGCACUGUGCAAACACGAAAGUGGACGUAUACGGUGUGACGCCUGCCCGGUGCCGGAAGGUUAAUUGAUGGGGUCAGCGCAAGCGAAGCUCCUGAUCGAAGCCCCGGUAAACGGCGGCCGUAACUAUAACGGUCCUAAGGUAGCGAAAUUCCUUGUCGGGUAAGUUCCGACCUGCACGAAUGGCGUAAUGAUGGCCAGGCUGUCUCCACCCGAGACUCAGUGAAAUUGAACUCGCUGUGAAGAUGCAGUGUACCCGCGGCAAGACGGAAAGACCCCGUGAACCUUUACUAUAGCUUGACACUGAACAUUGAGCCUUGAUGUGUAG
RNAcentral lists this ribosomal RNA (1238 nucleotides) under Salmonella enterica subsp. enterica serovar Stanley. RNAcentral describes it as "partial 23S ribosomal RNA". It matches the Rfam family "Bacterial large subunit ribosomal RNA", at positions 922 to 2141 of the family's 2925-position model. Lineage: Bacteria; Pseudomonadati; Pseudomonadota; Gammaproteobacteria; Enterobacterales; Enterobacteriaceae. The record is from RNAcentral.